Rhipicephalus microplus (southern cattle tick) is the source of this 592-nucleotide unclassified non-coding RNA. The record is from RefSeq and is a predicted model, not a curated record. Lineage: Eukaryota; Metazoa; Arthropoda; Arachnida; Ixodida; Ixodidae.
CAAGUGUCCCCUCUUACUGCAUCCCUCUGUCCCUCCACAGCGUGAAACUUUACAGCAUUUGUCUAUAGAUGCAAUUUCGUAAACGUUAGCAGAAAUGUGCUCGCACACACGCAUUACACAAUAGGUGCCUAUAUGGCCAAGCUAUAUCGACGAAUGGAAUAGUUAGGCCGAGCCGUUGUGUCCUGAAGUUCGUAAAUACGACAGAAAUAAUAUGGACGUACUACACAAGUGAACCUACAAAAAUUGAGUGUAAGGCAGACAAAAAACUGUACCUCAGCUUGCUUUCCAUUGAAUUCCAACGAUCUUAUUACUACAAGAUGAAAAAGAUGUGCUACUCGCUAGUCGGCAGGUUUCAUCCCAAGCACAAUGACGUCAUGAUAAUUCACUCUCCAGGUAGCACUUUUAAGCAAACAGAAAGUAUUGAAUAUCUGGAUGGAAUGCUUGCCUGCGCAGUCGUGAAGGUGACAAUGCCUGGCUCAAGUGAGUUGCGAUGUGUCGAUGCUUUCAUUAAUGCUGAAAUGUAAUUCGUGGAAAGACAGGCCGUAAGCUUGCAAAAGAGGAGAAACAAGGAAGACAAGAAGAACGGCAACAC